UAGGGAAUCUUCCGCAAUGGACGAAAGUCUGACGGAGCAACGCCGCGUGAACGAAGAAGGCCUUCGGGUCGUAAAGUUCUGUUGUUAGGGAAGAACAAGUACCAGAGUAACUGCUGGUACCUUGACGGUACCUAACCAGAAAGCCACGGCUAACUACGUG
RNAcentral lists this ribosomal RNA (160 nucleotides) under Bacillus sp. 20. Its description in RNAcentral is "partial 16S ribosomal RNA". It matches the Rfam family "Bacterial small subunit ribosomal RNA", at positions 355 to 507 of the family's 1533-position model. The record is from RNAcentral. RNAcentral also lists the same sequence under 7 other names. Lineage: Bacteria; Bacillati; Bacillota; Bacilli; Caryophanales; Bacillaceae.